AAAAUACUCCGGGCUUGGCCCAUUCAGACCAUUCAUUCACCAUGUCCAAACAUUUCCUUUGAAGCCCCAAUUUGUUCUAUGAUGAUCGCUUGAGAUGAAUUUCUAUAAAACAGCCUGUUAUGUGCCUAGUGUCCGUGAAGUACCCAGUGGAAUUUGCAAUGCCCGCUGUUCAGCCGAGGAUUUUCCCCCCAAUGAUGGCAUUUCAUAUUAGGCUUCCUGUGAAUCCGGCCUGAUUGAACGGUUUGAUUGCUCUUUCACUCAGAGUACUAUUUAUUCAGACUAAAGGUUGCAUGCAGAGCUAGAGAAAGUGCCUCCUGUUUGAUAGUUAGGGAGCCAAGCUAUUUCCUGCCAAAAUCUUUUUUUCUCCCAUUUUUAAUUAAAAGUUACUGUGUCAAAUGCUUGCUCUUGUUCAAUGUGGGUUUCUGGAAGUAUGUGAAAAACAUUUUGC
Molecule: non-coding RNA, 448 nt
Organism: Pelobates cultripes (western spadefoot toad)
Lineage: Eukaryota; Metazoa; Chordata; Amphibia; Anura; Pelobatidae
Source: the annotation of a GenBank genome assembly